Mus musculus (house mouse) is the source of this 358-nucleotide long non-coding RNA. RefSeq annotates it as predicted gene, 40931. The record is from RefSeq and is a predicted model, not a curated record. The transcript has 3 exons. Lineage: Eukaryota; Metazoa; Chordata; Mammalia; Rodentia; Muridae.
GUGCAAGUCUUUGGAAGUCAGAAGGCGUGGGAAUCCCCUGGAAGUGCAGUAUUCCUCACAACGUGAAGGAGUGGCUCAUUGCACUGUGCGAGUUUGGAGGAACUUAAAAUAAUCCCGUCUUCUGAUGACGACUUUCAUCCGGGCCGUGCUUUGUAAUUUUCACCGUUCCCUCUACUUCCCUGAAUCCAGCCACUGAAAGUCAGAGGCAUGAAAUGACCGUGUCUAACAGGCUGCACAGUUGGAGGAACAGGAAACGACCAAGGGGUACAAUUGCUAUCAAUCUGUCUUCCUUUUGUGUGGAGGCUUUCGUCAACAACGUCUGCUUCCGUCUCAUUAGCCACUGGUGAUUGCAAGCUAG